CGGUGGAGCAUGUGGUUUAAUCGAAGCAACGCGAAGAACCUUACCAGGUCUUGACAUCCCGAUGCUAUUUCUAGAGAUAGAAAGUUACUUCGGUACAUCGGUGACAGGUGGUGCAUGGUUGUCGUCAGCUCGUGUCGUGAGAUGUUGGGUUAAGUCCCGCAACGAGCGCAACCCCUAUUGUUAGUUGCCAUCAUUCAGUUGGGCACUCUAGCGAGACUGCCGGUAAUAAACCGGAGGAAGGUGGGAUGACGUCAAAUCAUCAUGCCCCUUAUGACCUGGGCUACACACGUGCUACAAUGGUUGGUACAACGAGUUGCGAGUCGGUGACGGCGAGCUAAUCUCUUAAAGCCAAUCUCAGUUCGGAUUGUAGGCUGCAACUCGCCUACAUGAAGUCGGAAUCGCUAGUAAUCGCGGAUCAGCACGCCGCGGUGAAUACGUUCCCGGGCCUU
RNAcentral lists this ribosomal RNA (449 nucleotides) under uncultured Streptococcus sp. Its description in RNAcentral is "bacterial SSU rRNA". It matches the Rfam family "Bacterial small subunit ribosomal RNA", at positions 930 to 1382 of the family's 1533-position model. The record is from RNAcentral. Lineage: Bacteria; Bacillati; Bacillota; Bacilli; Lactobacillales; Streptococcaceae.